GGGCCAGUAGCUUAGCGGCUAAAGCUUCAAGCUUAUACCUUGAUGAGCGAUGGUUCGAGUCCAUCCUGGCCCA
RNAcentral lists this transfer RNA (73 nucleotides) under Candidatus Wildermuthbacteria bacterium RIFCSPHIGHO2_01_FULL_48_25. Its description in RNAcentral is "tRNA-Ile". It matches the Rfam family "tRNA". From Rfam's summary of the family: Transfer RNA (tRNA) molecules are approximately 80 nucleotides in length. Their secondary structure includes four short double-helical elements and three loops (D, anti-codon, and T loops). The record is from RNAcentral. RNAcentral also lists the same sequence under 3 other names. Lineage: Bacteria; Candidatus Wildermuthiibacteriota.